UCCCUGAUAGCUGAGUUGUUAAAGAAUCUGCUUGCAAUGCAGGCAACCCCGGUUUGAUUCCUGGUUUGGAAA
This is a transfer RNA of Ovis aries (sheep), 72 nucleotides long. It matches the Rfam family "tRNA". From Rfam's summary of the family: Transfer RNA (tRNA) molecules are approximately 80 nucleotides in length. NCBI's taxonomy places the organism in Eukaryota, Metazoa, Chordata, Mammalia, Artiodactyla, Bovidae. The record is from Rfam.